AUUGAACGCUGGCGGCAGGCCUAACACAUGCAAGUCGAGCGGAUGAAGGGAGCUUGCUCCUGGAUUCAGCGGCGGACGGGUGAGUAAUGCCUAGGAAUCUGCCUGGUAGUGGGGGAUAACGUCCGGAAACGGGCGCUAAUACCGCAUACGGCCUGAGGGAGAAAGUGGGGGAUCUUCGGACCUCACGCUAUCAGAUGAGCCUAGGUCGGAUUAGCUAGUUGGUGGGGUAAAGGCCUACCAAGGCGACGAUCCGUAACUGGUCUGAGAGGGUGAUCAGUCACACUGGAACUGAGACACGGUCCAGACUCCGACAGGAGGCAGCAGUGGGGAAUAUUGGACAAUGGGCGAAAGCCUGAUCCAGCCAUGCCGCGUGUGUGAAGAAGGUCUUCGGAUUGUAAAGCACUUUAAGUUGGAAGGAAGGGCAGUAAGUUAAUACCUUGCUGUUUUGACGUUACCAACAGAAUAAGCACCGGCUAACUUCGUG
Molecule: ribosomal RNA, 484 nt
Filed under: uncultured bacterium
Lineage: Bacteria
Description: partial 16S ribosomal RNA
Rfam family: Bacterial small subunit ribosomal RNA
Source: RNAcentral